Long non-coding RNA from Oncorhynchus tshawytscha (Chinook salmon), 565 nucleotides. NCBI's taxonomy places the organism in Eukaryota, Metazoa, Chordata, Actinopteri, Salmoniformes, Salmonidae. The record is from Ensembl.
CAGUGAGGUCCUAUGAGCAAUCUUUACAGUACAGGCCUCCUGACACUCCCUCUAACACUGUCACUAUCCACCACCCUGAAGGAAACAUGCUACUACAACAGCCAAUCUCCUUUCACCUCAGAGCUUCACCCAGGAGACACUCAUAUCACAUCAUCAUCGUCUUCCCCAGCGUAUUCAUCAUCUUCAUCAUUAUCUUUUUCUUCAUCAUGAUGUUCAGAGUUCUGAUUCACCUGGCAGCUCUACCACUCUGGGUGACAGGGCAGUUGUUUAGUAGCAUGGUUCAUCAGAGGCCUGUGGCACUAACAGAAGGUCCUGGAGGAGACGUUCAACUCACCUGCAGCCAUACGAUCCCUAACUACUACGUGAUACUAUGGUACAAACAGUCAGCAGGAGACACUGCUAUGAAACUCAUUGGUUAUGCAAAUUACAAGUUAAUAACCAUGGAGAAAUCAUUUGAAAAGCACUUUAAUGUGAGUGGAGACGGUGGGAAAGAGGCUUAUCUUCAUCUAGUGAGUCUGAGAGGACCUGAACACAGUGCAGUUUAUUACUGUGCAGCCAGCCAACA